This 467-nucleotide ribosomal RNA is filed under the name uncultured bacterium. Its description in RNAcentral is "partial 16S ribosomal RNA". It matches the Rfam family "Bacterial small subunit ribosomal RNA", at positions 28 to 507 of the family's 1533-position model. The record is from RNAcentral.
GACGAACGCUGGCGGCGUGCUUAACACAUGCAAGUCGAACGGAAAGGCCCUGCUUUUGUGGGGUGCUCGAGUGGCGAACGGGUGAGUAACACGUGAGUAACCUGCCCUUGACGUUGGGAUAACUUCAGGAAACUGGGGCUAAUACCGGAUAGGAGCUCCUGCGGCAUGGGGGGGGUUGGAAAGUUUCGGCGGUUGGGGAUGGACUCGCGGCUUAUCAGCUGGUGGGGGGGGAGUGGCUUACCAAGGGUUUGACGGGUCGCCGGCCUGGGAGGGGGACCGGCCCCCAUAGGCCUGCGGUAGGCCGCAGUCUCCAACGGUGGGCAACGGUCGGAAGUCUUGCCCAGUGAUCGCGCGCCUGUUACGGCAGCCCUCCGUGCGUGAUGCCGGCCUUCGCGUUAUGAACCGCUUUCGCCUGUGACGAAGCGUGAGUGACGGUACCGGGUGAAGAAGCACCGGCUAACUACGUG